CCUACGGGAGGCAGCAGUGAGGAAUAUUGGUCAAUGGCCGGAAGGCUGAACCAGCCAUGCCGCGUGAAGGUCAGUGCCCUAUGGGCGUUAAACUUCUUUUGUGCGGGAGCAAUAAUGGUCACGUGUGGCCAGACGAGAGUACCGUACGAAUAAGCAUCGGCUAACUCCGUGCCAGCAGCCGCGGUAAUACGGGGGAUGCAAGCGCUAUCCGGAUUUAUUGGGUUUAAAGGGUGCGUAGGCUGUGAGGUAAGUCAGCGGUGAAAUGCCCCCGCUCAACGGGGUGAAGUGCCAUUGAUACUGCCUGGCUGGAGUGCGGAUGCCGUGGGAGGAAUGUGUGGUGUAGCGGUGAAAUGCAUAGAUAUCACACAGAACACCGAUUGCGAAGGCAUCUCACGAAUCCGCGAUUGACGCUGAUGCACGAAAGCGUGGGUAUCAAACAGGAUUAGAUACCCUGGUAGUC
Molecule: ribosomal RNA, 460 nt
Filed under: uncultured bacterium
Lineage: Bacteria
Description: partial 16S ribosomal RNA
Rfam family: Bacterial small subunit ribosomal RNA
Source: RNAcentral